CACACUCUGUCUCUCUCUCUCUCAAAAAUAAAUAAACAUGAAAUAAAAAAAUUUAAGUACUUUUAUGAGUCUUGAUCCAGAUUAUCAAAUUAUUCAUAAACUAUUAGGAAUUAUGCUAUCGCCAAUGUAUGAGGAUGGCAAUUUAAUUAUGUAUUUGUGAGUAACAUGCAAUAUUAGGAAAAAAAUUGGAGGCAGUAAUUUAUGAGCACACAAUCCUAUGAAGCAAACUGGAUAAACUAUCUACCAAUUUGAAAUCGACCUUUGUGCGUUUGCCAAGAACUAGAGUGGCUCCCAAAGUCCUACUAUUAGGGGUUUACUAUACCCUCUAUAUGGGGUCUAUGCUGGCCCCUGGGAAGCCCCAGGACAUUUUUCUUUGGUGUAAGGAAGGAGGCAGUCAUCACAGCAAUGAGUCUUACUCAUUUUGGAAUAGUGCUGCACGUUACAAAGCAUUUCUGCAUUCUCUCCUUUGGUCCUCACCACAAUCCUUCUUUCAUCUUAACCAUGAGAACUUUAAAGCUCAAAAGAAUUUUCAGGUAGACUUCAGCCACUCAGAGGAAAACAAAGUUGGAAGAACUCAGGUCUUCCACUUCCAAGGGCAAUGCUGCUUCUAUAUCAACAGGUUGGAGGGGAGCCAAGGCAGACAGGAGGUGCUUAGGCAGAUGCUGAAUCAAUGACAUGUGCGCUGAUGGGUCAGAGCACAGUGGCAGCUCCAGGGUCAGCCUGACCCAGAGGUGAACCUUGUCUUCCCUACUUACAGUCUAAGUGACCCUCUGCCUCUGCAAGUUUCCUGUUCCCUUUCUCUGGGCCCCAGGGACACUCAUUUCACAGGGAUGGACAGGAGAGAGUAAGAGUUCUCUAAGGGUCUUUCAAUUUUUUUUUAAAUGUUUAUUUUUGAGAAAGAGAGAGAGACAGAGAGACAGAGAAAGAGAGAGAGAGAGAGAGAGAGAGAGAGAGAGCGAGCAAUUGAAGGCUGGUUGAGUGGGAGUUAAUGUUUCCUUGGUGGAAAACAUUUAGUGAAAUUACCAAAUAAGUUUCCAUUAAGAACGUUAGUUGAGGUCACAGGUUGUCACCACAAAUGCUCAAAGGGGCAGGCAGGUCACAUAAAGGAAGGAGGCAGAACGGUGUGACAUGAAAUAGUGACAGACCUUGUAGGUCAGGUAAACCGCAAGGAGAGGGGGAUGGCAGCUACCUCGGGUGUUCAGACCUACUGCAAGGGCAGAAAACGGGUUCAAAGAUGCCAGAGCUUCUGAUUUGUUCAAUAGGAAGUGCAGCAGAAGCCUGCUUCUGAAGACGAGCGUUGUGAUGGCACAUUUGUAGGCAUCGUGUCAACAGCCAGCUUAGGGUCUCUGGUUUAGAUAAGACUCUAUUCGUAAUUUAAAAUUCCAGGAACACUAACCCUGGAUUCUGACUGCUAAAAGGUAUAAAAACCAAAGCAAUCACAAAACAAAACAAAACCCCACAAAAUACAAACUCAUUAAUCAAUACUCAAAAAACUUACUCUGAACCAAGAGCUUUUGACUUAAAGUGACAAAAGUUUGCAACAAAAACCAAGGAUCCCUUUUCAUGCUAUAGAGAUUAAACAGUCUUUUCUACCUCAGAGAUGGGUUUGUAUGUAUAUGUUCGGAUGUGUGUGAGGGGGCAUUUCCUUCCUCUUUCUAAAUGUGCUUAAAGUUAGCUCUAAUUGAACAUAACUAUUAACUUAAAUUUAUUUUACAUUAUAGAUUUGCCACUGAGGCUUAAGCUUCAGUCACAUGUAUAAUAAGAUGCCGCCCCAAUUCAUCUAGAAGUUCUCAACUGUUAAUUAUCUCAAUUCCUAAAUGCCAAGGAUUAUAGCAUACAAUCACUGAAAGUUAUUACCUUUGGCCACAUACCAUAAGGCUGAAGAUUACUGUGUGCUUACUUGAUCUGCAACAGUUAAUUUCUAUAACUCAUCAUGUGACUCAUACUUUUUUAUUUUCUCUCUUACUCAGGGGCUGAUUAUCCAAUUUAUUGAUUAUCUAUGUACUGAUUGAUUAGCUUCCCUAAUUACUGCUUUUUAACCAGUUCCUGUUCAUUAGCACCUUUCCCCAAAGGACUGGAAAAAGAAAUAACACCUAAAACUUGGAUCUGCAAAUGGUUCAGAUGUUUUUCAUUGGCAAUUUAAAUCGCCGGGUCAACAUAUUAGAAUGAAAGACAAAAACCAGAUCCUAAAACAAUUCUUAAUAAUCAUGUUUCCUUCUAAAACCACAUACAAGCAGAGGAGGCCUGGAUUAUAGAAAGAAGCUUCUAGGAAGAGAGAAGCCAGGGAACC
Molecule: long non-coding RNA, 2290 nt
Organism: Herpailurus yagouaroundi (jaguarundi)
Lineage: Eukaryota; Metazoa; Chordata; Mammalia; Carnivora; Felidae
Exons: 3
Source: RefSeq, a predicted model, not a curated record